UCAUGCUGUUUUUAGUUUGGAAUAAAAGAGAUGGUUUUUUUUAAUGUAGUCCCAAAAUCCUGGCUGAAGGGUUUAAGUUAUAUAAGAAUCCAUAUAUCUUUUACAACAAAACUUUCACAUCUAAGUUUUGGAACACUAGGAGAAUGUCCUGUCACCAAUCCUAUGCAAGGGUCUAAUGUUACAAAGAUGGUGAACCUCGUCAUCUCAGGAGUUUCAAAGUCUACUGAUAUUUAAAAUAUGGAAAUCAGAUGAAGUCCUUAUUUCUAGCAUUGGCGGUAAUUAGAACCCAAACUGUUUCCAGUACAUCGUAUUUCCUUCUUUAAGGAGUCUUAGAUUAGAAAGAACUUUUGAAAAACAUCCAAGACUUUGCUAUUAUACAACUUAGAGUGCCAUUUUACAACUUCUCCAAUUCUGGUCUCUAUUUUUAAAAAUAGCCUUUGAACCUAUGAUAGUCAUAUACCAUUCCCUCUUUAGAAAGCUGUUAACUUGUGAGCAGUGUGUAAAAUGUCAUUCAGUGCAAAACAUCGUUCUGCUUUUGAAAUGGCAAAUGGAAGGUUUAGACUGAACAAACUCAAUUACUUGGGGUGAUCCCUAUUCUUUACUUGAGUGGAAGAUGGCUCUAAGGCAGAGAGAUUCAUGUUCAUUCCAAGAUGCAAGCACUGCAAGACGACAAAAUUAUUUGGUGCACAACACAGCAGUCCACAAAUACUUCUCCACAUCCCUGGCAGGUAGAGUGCCAUCAAUUAAAUAACUAUUGAUCCAAUGUCCUUUUAUAAUAGCUCUGCUGCCAGGGCUGAUGGGGUGUGGGGGGGCUCUGCCUGAAAUUUAAAUACAAUUGUCUCAUCAAGAGUUUUGAAAUGCUGAGAUUGAAACAGUUCACAUAAACGCAAAGGUAUCGGCAGAAAGCCUCAAUGCUGCUUGACUGAUGAAAUGUGUACUGCGGCAUUACAACAGGAGCCUCAGAUUUCAUACCCACCUUGCAACAUUCACAUCUGUAAGUUUGCACUAAGAUGUCAGGAUGCAUGUUUCACUGGGGCCCCAAAAUUUUGCUUUGAAAAUAUGAUUUCUAAUAGAUUUAAUCCAUACCCUCAACAUGAGUUUUAUUUGGUUGUAGUUUAACUUGUGUGAAUGCAGCUGCUUGUGUAAAUACAGCUGCUCUGUUUUGUGAUUAUGUUUUAUAGGUUAAUCUUAUGUGACAAUCCAGCCAUUGUGGCUAUUGAAAAAACUGUGGUUAGUCAUAGAUUCAAGAAAUUGAGAACUGCCACAAAAUCUUGCAGAAUAGCUUCAUAACCAGUCAGUUUCUAUUCUGGGUUUUAUUCAUUCUCCCCAAGCUGGAUACUUCCUUCCUUCCUCCUCCUCCAACUGGUAUUCUGGUGUUUGUUUUUUCCCAAGCUACCAGUCAUUUUUCUGUGACUAGAGAGCAUGCUCAAAUAUUCUUGGUUUGUUUCUGAGACAAAACUGCCCCUUCAUUAGUAUCUGCUUUUGCCAAACCCUUCAUUUCUGCCAGGAUGCUAAACAAAAUCCAUCUUUUACUAUGACUCCAUUUUUGUUGGCACACCUCACCUGGUUGUACAAUGAAAGAAAGCGGUAAUGAAUUCCCACUUGUAAAAGUUAAAAGCUGGUCCUUUGGUCAGUACAAGUUUUACAAGUCUUUUUUGCCAAGGAAUUACAGGAAAACUUGCAAUCCUGCAUAUUGUACAGCCUCUCGCAUUGCAAUGAAUCGAUUCAAAUGUAGGGAUGACUGCAUCACAAAUGCAAAAAAUUGUUAAUGUACAUUGUUUUGGAAAUCUUGUAUGCUGUCCCGAGUUUCUUGGAAAAACAGCAGAAUAAAAAUGGUGAGGGAGGGAGGACCCCACUCAUGAAAUGUGGGUAAGCUUGUUGCAGGUUAUAGAUAAGCCAUGAUCCAAUAUUGUCCCCUAACCAGCUUUUGCAAAGGUGAGAAAGCAAGUUUCUGAGCAUGGGUUAAAGGCAACACCAUCGCACCUUUCUCCUCCUGAGGAGCAAUCCUACUUGGAGCUGAGUGCCAGGGACAAAUACACACAUGACGGCAGCUUUCAAAUCCUUCUGCUAACCAGACAUGGAUGGCGCCACGGCAUUACAUUUCAGAAACUGAAGCAAUAACAACCAACAGACGGGCCUGGUAGCCGAUUGUCCGUCGUGCAUGGUCGAAUGUCCCAUUCAGUCUCCUGGCUGCCACCUUUUGCAGAAGUUGCAGCUUUCGUACCAAGAACAAGGAUGUCGCCUUUAUCGGGGAUGGUUCAAUCCAGUUUGGGUGAAUCGCUCAGUCUGUGAAAAUGGACCUUGCUUUUCAAGAUAGUCUUGGUGACAUCAACAGCGCUAUGGCUUCUCCCUUCCUGUUGCAACACAAGUACGAAGUUUCUCAUCAUAGCUUUCGCCUGAGCCUUUACAUCAAUUUACGAGAAUACUAGAAAUUCAGGAUGUGACUGUGUAAAAAAAAAAAACAAAGAAAAAAAAAACCAAAGUGGUGCUAAAAGACAUCAAAAGUAGGUGUCUCAGAUUUGGGCUGCAAAAAUAAUCUGGUUAACCAGGAUCAGAAGAAUCUAAUUUUUUCCCCUACCUGGUGAUCAUCUGAAGUUUUGAGAACCCAGUUCUGCUAGACCUACCAAAGAGUAAAUUAUAGGAAUUUGGGAUCAGUUGGUCAGGGCAUGUUUAGAGUUGGGAAAACUUAGCAAAGAGAUCUGUCUCUCCAUCAUCUAACCCUAACCCUAACCAAAAACUAUCUACUAUUGACCUCACCCCAUUCCUAAAAGGUCUGUAAGGGGCGUGCAUAAGAGCACCAACGUGCCUACCGAUCCUGUCCUAAUGUUCCCUUUGAUUGUA
Molecule: long non-coding RNA, 2841 nt
Organism: Ahaetulla prasina
Lineage: Eukaryota; Metazoa; Chordata; Lepidosauria; Squamata; Colubridae
Exons: 3
Source: RefSeq, a predicted model, not a curated record